Molecule: transfer RNA, 45 nt
Filed under: Amphitetranychus viennensis (hawthorn spider mite)
Lineage: Eukaryota; Metazoa; Arthropoda; Arachnida; Trombidiformes; Tetranychidae
Description: tRNA-Ser
Source: RNAcentral
AAAGUUAUAAAAAUUAUUUUGAAAAUAAUUUAUUAAAAAACUUUU